ACACUCCUGCGGGAGGCAGCAGUGGGGAAUAUUGCACAAUGGGCGCAAGCCUGAUGCAGCCAUGCCGCGUGUAUGAAGAAGGCCUUCGGGUUGUAAAGUACUUUCAGCGGGGAGGAAGGCGAUAAGGUUAAUAACCUUGUUGAUUGACGUUACCCGCAGAAGAAGCACCGGCUAACUCCGUGCCAGCAGCCGCGGUAAUACGGAGGGUGCAAGCGUUAAUCGGAAUUACUGGGCGUAAAGCGCACGCAGGCGGUCUGUCAAGUCGGAUGUGAAAACCCCGGGCUCAACCUGGGAACUGCAUUCGAAACUGGCAGGCUAGAGUCUUGUAGAGGGGGGUAGAAUUCCAGGUGUAGCGGUGAAAUGCGUAGAGAUCUGGAGGAAUACCGGUGGCGAAGGCGGCCCCCUGGACAAAGACUGACGCUCAGGUGCGAAAGCGUGGGGAGCAAACAGGAUUAGAAACCCCAGUAGUCCC
RNAcentral lists this ribosomal RNA (472 nucleotides) under uncultured organism. Its description in RNAcentral is "partial 16S ribosomal RNA". It matches the Rfam family "Bacterial small subunit ribosomal RNA", at positions 333 to 797 of the family's 1533-position model. The record is from RNAcentral.